Ribosomal RNA from Cricetulus griseus (Chinese hamster), 115 nucleotides. NCBI's taxonomy places the organism in Eukaryota, Metazoa, Chordata, Mammalia, Rodentia, Cricetidae. The record is from Ensembl.
AUCUGUGACCAGAUUUCUCUGAACAUGCCAGGUCUCAUUUGAUCCUGGAAGCUAAGUAGGGUUGGUCGGGUAUGCUCAGUAUGUGGAUGGGAGAUGAGCAAGUAUUGUGCUGAUA